This is a long non-coding RNA of Hemicordylus capensis (graceful crag lizard), 1162 nucleotides long. RefSeq lists it as uncharacterized. Lineage: Eukaryota; Metazoa; Chordata; Lepidosauria; Squamata; Cordylidae. The record is from RefSeq and is a predicted model, not a curated record. The transcript has 9 exons.
GCUUGCCUUCUGCGUGGCCUAGGAUCCUCCACGGGCUGGGCCUACAAACUGCAGAGCAGCUCUCCUCUCAGCUGAUCGGCGGGUGGGCGGGGCUUCCAGAGAGGCCUCCGAGUAGGCCUCCCUGAAGCCUGAAUUCGGCAGGCCCCAAGGAAGCCAGGAAGAAGAAGGCAGGCAGAGUUCUCUGCAGCAGCAGCCCCUCUGCCCAGAACAUCCAGCACAGCUUUUGCCAGGGGACAAAAAUGCAUGAUUGAUUGAUUGAUUGAUUGAUUGAUUACAGCAUCAUUUCCUUGAUGGAUUUCACAGUUGCCAUCCAAAAUCCAGAAAAGUCCAACUGCAUUUCAUUCACAUGGUCAUAAAUAUUCAAAAAUACAAACAGCUGAAAGGCAACAUCAACCCUGGCUUCACAUCUUUUUGAGGAGCAAAUCCUGAUGUUAAACAACAUCGGAGACAAUAUGGAGCCCUGAGGGACACCGUAGAAGAGUUCAGAUUUUGAAGAACAACAGACUCCAAGAGACACCAUCUGGAAUCUGACCUUGAGACGGGCCAUGCGUGGCAACGUGGUAGGAAGGAGGCAAUUGGCUGAGUUUGCAAGCAGAAGCACCUGAUUGGGCAGUGGGGAUUCCAUAUGCAGAUAGAGAGAAGGAGCCUGUGAGAGCAGAAGUACCAUGGUGAUUGGGCAGUGGGGAUUCCCUAUGCCGAUAAGGAGGAGGGACCUGUGAUGGUUAAGGCACAAGAAAAGCAGUCUCUAGCUCAUGCCUGAAGCUUAGCUCUGAACCCAAGGCUCCAAGGACAAAGAACUGAAGGAUGAAGAAAUUUCAUUUUUUGCAUGAAUUUACCAUCCAGCUGCCUCCCUUCCUUGUCCCUUACAGGAUCUGAGACCAUGCCAUGUUGCCUAGGAUCUGGAAGACUUGGCUUCAAAUUCUCACUCAUCCAUGAUGCUCCCUGCCUGGGUGACUUGGGCCAGUUGUGAAGAAAGAAUGGGGUUAUAUAGAGCUACAUGGACACCAUCUUGAGCUCCAUGGGGGAAGAAUACAAUGUGGAUCUGUCCUUGGGACAAUCCUUUUCGACGUCUUUGUUCCCCCAACGACACACGAUCGUCAUCGGGAAGAAGACAAGAAGCCCUAUUUGAAUGUAAUCUGCAGGUAUGCGUGUCUCAGCAGAC